RNAcentral lists this ribosomal RNA (497 nucleotides) under uncultured bacterium. RNAcentral describes it as "partial 16S ribosomal RNA". It matches the Rfam family "Bacterial small subunit ribosomal RNA", at positions 28 to 507 of the family's 1533-position model. The record is from RNAcentral.
GAUGAACGCUGGCGGCGUGCCUAAUACAUGCCAGUCGAGCGAACGGACGAGAAGCUUGCUUCUCUGAUGUUAGCGGCGGACGGGUGAGUAACACGUGGAUAACCUACCUAUAAGACUGGGAUAACUUCGGGAAACCGGAGCUAAUACCGGAUAAUAUUUUGAACCGCAUGGUUCAAAAGUGAAAGACGGUCUUGCUGUCACUUAUAGAUGGAUCCGCGCUGCAUUAGCUAGUUGGUAAGGUAACGGCUUACCAAGGCAACGAUGCAUAGCCGACCUGAGAGGGUGAUCGGCCACACUGGAACUGAGACACGGUCCAGACUCCUACGGGAGGCAGCAGUAGGGAAUCUUCCGCAAUGGGCGAAAGCCUGACGGAGCAACGCCGCGUGAGUGAUGAAGGUCUUCGGAUCGUAAAACUCUGUUAUUAGGGAAGAACAUAUGUGUAGGUAACUGUGCACAUCUUGACGGUACCUAAUCAGAAAGCCACGGCUAACUACGUG